GUUAUUAAUCCAUGGGGGUGGAUAUAGUGUGAGUUUUCUAACUAGUAAAGAUUGUGCCAGCGGCUGCGGUUAUACAGUCAGUGGACUUGAGUUUUUGCUUAUUAAAUUAUUUAUAAUUAUUUGGUAGUGAAAUACGUAUAUUAUUAUGUUAUUUUAUUUAUAAAGAUUAUACAAUAUGGAUUAGAUACCCAUGUAGGAUCAGUAUAGGUAAAAUGUGGGGAAUAUCUAAAUAACUUGGCGGUAAGUUCAAAAGAUAGGGGGUUCUGGAUAGGAUAAUACACCAAAAUGAAUUUAGUACUUAUUUCUACUUGUAUGAUUGUUUAAAUUAGGUUUAAUUUUAAAUAAAUAUCAUAAGGGUUGUACCAUAAAAAUCUGGGAUUUAUAUGUAAUAAAAAUAAUGGACUUAUGAGUAAAUGUUGCUAAAUUGAAGAUAUCGAACGURAGUACAUAUCGCCCGUCAAUACCCURAGGGUAUAAGUCGUAACAUAGURGGUCUACUUGAAAGUGGAUCUU
RNAcentral lists this ribosomal RNA (513 nucleotides) under Leptorhynchoides thecatus. RNAcentral describes it as "12S Ribosomal RNA". The record is from RNAcentral. Lineage: Eukaryota; Metazoa; Acanthocephala; Palaeacanthocephala; Echinorhynchida; Rhadinorhynchidae.